UACACUACCUGCUGCACAGCGAAGAAAACUAAGACCACUCCUGAGAAUCUCGUGCCCAGUGAUAAGACCGCGAGAAAGCCGACAGCGGCAGCAUGCGCGGCUGAGGAGGUGCCGGUGGCGGAGAAACCCACUGCCCCGGAGGAGGACGUGCCCCCGCAGCCCGAGCCCGAGCCGGAAAAGGUAGCGACGCCGACUGAAAUAGAAGGGCUGUUAGUGGAAGACAAGCUACAGCUAACUCUAUCAAAGAUGGCGACAAGAAAGAUGAAAGAAAGAGAGAUGGAUUUCUUUGAAGGAGAUUGCUUCUAAUGCUAUUGCUACAAAGAAAGGAAAAAGUGAAGAGUGGUGUUGCUGUUCACA
Molecule: long non-coding RNA, 357 nt
Filed under: Salvia miltiorrhiza (redroot sage)
Lineage: Eukaryota; Viridiplantae; Streptophyta; Magnoliopsida; Lamiales; Lamiaceae
Description: long non-coding RNA (SMIL_LNC011742)
Source: RNAcentral